RNAcentral lists this long non-coding RNA (980 nucleotides) under Marmota monax (woodchuck). Lineage: Eukaryota; Metazoa; Chordata; Mammalia; Rodentia; Sciuridae. The record is from RNAcentral.
GUAACAUCAGGUAACUUGAGUUAGACAACUCUUACACUGAUUUGUAUGUGAUGUGACCUUGGGCAACUUAUUUCAUCUCUCCAAACUUCAGUUUCAUCUAUAGAAAUGAGAACAAUGAUAAUAUGUAUCUUAUGUGAUGUGUUGAGGAUUACAUGAGAUAAUACCCCAGCACUGGCCUAUUGAAAGAAUUUAGUAUUUGUGAGCUAUGAGGAUUGUGUUAAUGGGUCCUUGAAGUGUGGGAAGAAAGAAUGAGAAAUAAGGGGGCUGGGAAAUGAUCUCUGUUAGAGCUGCAAGAUAAUUAAUUCAGAAGGCAGAGGAUUGAAGCCAGGGAAGAAGAAAAAGAAAAAGGAGAAGGAGGAGGAGGAGAAGGGCAUCCAGGAAAGGGCUAUAUUGGUACCAAACACUAAACAUCCUUGGUUUCUCUGUUCUUUGUCCUUGGAGAUAACUGCUGGAGUGGGGUAGGGUGUACUAAGGGGACUUGGUCUGUGUCAAUAGGUAUUUGUUGACAACAGGCAAGUUUCAAGCCAUUAAGAAUCUAGUUUUAUUGGCAUGUCAGGAAGGCAGCGGUUGUUCUAUUUUCCUGGCAUAGCUAUUCCAUGAGGCAGGCUGGGACUCGUCCUGUUUGCCUAAGUCUCAGUUAAGUCUCCAGGGAAAGGACAAUCAGGUGGCAUCAUUUGGAAAGCAUCUCUGACUCAGGAUAGGAAGAAGCCCACUGAGUGACUAUGACAGUGGGUCAGCUUCUCUCCUGCCCCACAUCACAGGACUCUGGCAGCUUUAUGUUUGUCAUCUUGAUAUCCUGGGGACAGACUAGCUCUUCUGGGGAAGACUGACUUAGUUGUGAUAGGAACAAGGUUGUAUGACAAAGCUGGGGUUUAAUGAUCCUAUAGGCUCCUGAACAGUCUUUUGCAAGGAGUAGCUCAACCACUGGAGAGGAAGGAGCAGGCUUUGCAUUCCUUCAGACCCAAGCUUGGGUGCUUACU